This 874-nucleotide ribosomal RNA is filed under the name Staphylococcus caprae. Its description in RNAcentral is "bacterial SSU rRNA". The record is from RNAcentral. Lineage: Bacteria; Bacillati; Bacillota; Bacilli; Caryophanales; Staphylococcaceae.
AGCGACAGACGAGGAGCUUGCUCCUCUGAYGUUAGCGGCGGACGGGUGAGUAACACGUGGAUAACCUACCUAUAAGACUGGGAUAACUUCGGGAAACCGGAGCUAAUACCGGAUAACAUGUUGAACCGCAUGGUUCAACAGUGAAAGACGGUYUUGCUGUCACUUAUAGAUGGAUCCGCGCCGCAUUAGCUAGUUGGUAAGGUAACGGCUUACCAAGGCAACGAUGCGUAGCCGACCUGAGAGGGUGAUCGGCCACACUGGAACUGAGACACGGUCCAGACUCCUACGGGAGGCAGCAGUAGGGAAUCUUCCGCAAUGGGCGAAAGCCUGACGGAGCAACGCCGCGUGAGUGAAGAAGGUCUUCGGAUCGUAAAACUCUGUUAUUAGGGAAGAACAAAUGUGUAAGUAACUAUGCACGUCUUGACGGUACCUAAUCAGAAAGCCACGGCUAACUACGUGCCAGCAGCCGCGGUAAUACGUAGGUGGCAAGCGUUAUCCGGAAUUAUUGGGCGUAAAGCGCGCGUAGGCGGUUUUUUAAGUCUGAUGUGAAAGCCCACGGCUCAACCGUGGAGGGUCAUUGGAAACUGGAAAACUUGAGUGCAGAAGAGGAAAGUGGAAUUCCAUGUGUAGCGGUGAAAUGCGCAGAGAUAUGGAGGAACACCAGUGGCGAAGGCGACUUUCUGGUCUGUAACUGACGCUGAUGUGCGAAAGCGUGGGGAUCAAACAGGAUUAGAUACCCUGGUAGUCCACGCCGUAAACGAUGAGUGCUAAGUGUUAGGGGUUUCCGCCCCUUAGUGCUGCAGCUAACGCAUUAAGCACUCCGCCUGGGGAGUACGACCGCAGGGUUGAAACUCAAAGGAAUUGACGGGACCCG